CCUACGGGAGGCAGCAGUGGGGAAUAUUGCACAAUGGGGGAAACCCUGAUGCAGCGACGCCGCGUGAGUGAGGAAGUAUCUCGGUAUGUAAAGCUUCAUCAGUAGGGAAGAAAAUGACGGUACCUGACUAAGAAGCCCUGGCUAACUACGUGCCAGCAGCCGCGGUAAUACGUAGGGGGCAAGCGUUAUCCGGAUUUACGGGGUGUAAAGGGAGCGUAGACGGCUAAACAAGUCAGAAGUGAAAACCCAGGGCUCAACCUUGGGACUGCAUUUGAAACUGAGUAGCUAGAGUGCAGGAGAGGUAAGCGGAAUUCCUAGUGUAGCGGUGAAAUGCGUAGAUAUUAAGAAGAACACCAGUGGCGAAGGCAGCUUACUGGACUGUAACUGACGUUGAGGCUCGAAAGCGUGGGGAGCAAACAGGAUUAGAUACCCCGGUAGUC
Molecule: ribosomal RNA, 440 nt
Filed under: uncultured bacterium
Lineage: Bacteria
Description: partial 16S ribosomal RNA
Rfam family: Bacterial small subunit ribosomal RNA
Source: RNAcentral